CCAAUAGCGUAAAUUAAAGUUGUUGCAGUUAAAAAGCUCGUAGUUGAAUUUCGGGAUCAAUAUGUUGGUCGUGCCUUGGUACGUACUGGCAUUAUCGAUUCCUACCUUCUGAAGAACCUCGAUGUCAUUAAUUUGGUGUCUUGGGAAAUCAGGACUGUUACUUUGAAAAAAUUAGAGUGUUUAAAGCAGGCUCGCGCUUGAAUACAUUAGCAUGGAAUAAUGAAAUAGGACGUUUGAUUCUAUUUUGUUGGUUUCUAGGAUCGACGUAAUGAUUAAUAGGGAUAGUUGGGGGCAUUAGUAUUCAAUUGUCAGAGGUGAAAUUCUUGGAUUUAUUGAAGACUAACUACUGCGAAAGCAUUUGCCAAGGAUGUUUUCAUUAAUCAAGAACGAAAGUUAGGGGAUCGAAGACGAUCAGAUACCGUCGUAGUCUUAACCAUAAACUAUGCCGACUAGGGAUCGGAUGAUGUUAAUUUUUUAAUGACUCAUUCGGCGCCUUAC
RNAcentral lists this ribosomal RNA (498 nucleotides) under uncultured Glomeromycotina. Its description in RNAcentral is "partial small subunit ribosomal RNA". It matches the Rfam family "Eukaryotic small subunit ribosomal RNA", at positions 591 to 1091 of the family's 1831-position model. The record is from RNAcentral. Lineage: Eukaryota; Fungi; Glomeromycota.